AGUGAACGCUGGCGGUAGGCCUAACACAUGCAAGUCGAACGGCAGCACAGUAAGAGCUUGCUCUUACGGGUGGCGAGUGGCGGACGGGUGAGGAAUACAUCGGAAUCUACUUUUUCGUGGGGGAUAACGUAGGGAAACUUACGCUAAUACCGCAUACGACCUACGGGUGAAAGCAGGGGAUCUUCGGACCUUGCGCGAUUGAAUGAGCCGAUGUCGGAUUAGCUAGUUGGCGGGGUAAAGGCCCACCAAGGCGACGAGCCGUAGCUGGUCUGAGAGGAUGAGAGGGCAGAAGGGAAUGACGAGACGGGCGAGACGCCGACGGGAUGCAGCAGGAGGGAAGAGUAAGAAAUGGGCGAAAGACUGACGGAGCAAUGCGGCGGGAGUGAGGAAGGGCUGCGGAUCGUAAAACUCUUGUAUUAGGGAAGAAAAAAUGGGUAAGUAACGAGGAACGGCUUGAGGGUACGGAAUCAGAAAGCCACGGCUAACUACGUG
RNAcentral lists this ribosomal RNA (492 nucleotides) under uncultured bacterium. Its description in RNAcentral is "partial 16S ribosomal RNA". It matches the Rfam family "Bacterial small subunit ribosomal RNA", at positions 30 to 507 of the family's 1533-position model. The record is from RNAcentral.